GACGUAGGAUGCGAGCGUUGUCCGGAUUUACUGGGCGUAAAGAGUUCGUAGGUGGUAUAUCAAGUCUGGUGUUAAAUAUCGGGGCUCAACUCCGAAGCAGCACUGGAAACUGAUAAACUAGAGUACAGUAGAGGCAAGGGGAAUUCCCAGUGUAGCGGUGAAAUGCGUAGAUAUUGGGAGGAACACCGGUGGCGUAAGCGCCUUGCUGGGCUGUGACUGACGCUGAGGAACGAAAGCCAGGGGAG
RNAcentral lists this ribosomal RNA (245 nucleotides) under uncultured bacterium. RNAcentral describes it as "partial 16S ribosomal RNA". It matches the Rfam family "Bacterial small subunit ribosomal RNA", at positions 524 to 768 of the family's 1533-position model. The record is from RNAcentral.